This is a small nucleolar RNA of Sorghum bicolor (sorghum), 109 nucleotides long. It matches the Rfam family "Plant small nucleolar RNA R71". From Rfam's summary of the family: R71 is a member of the C/D box family of snoRNAs containing the C (UGAUGA) and D (CUGA) box motifs. Multiple nearly identical copies of this snoRNA have been identified in Arabidopsis, and it is thought to function as a 2'-O-ribose methylation guide for 18S ribosomal RNA. NCBI's taxonomy places the organism in Eukaryota, Viridiplantae, Streptophyta, Magnoliopsida, Poales, Poaceae. The record is from Rfam.
AUCCCAUGAUGAGGACACUUGAGUAUGUAGUCUUGAAAGCGCUCCUAAGCUUCUAGGACUGUCUCAUCAUGUUGUUGCUGAAAGCUCGAUAUCUUCCCACGCAGAGCAU